Molecule: ribosomal RNA, 331 nt
Filed under: uncultured bacterium
Lineage: Bacteria
Description: bacterial SSU rRNA
Rfam family: Bacterial small subunit ribosomal RNA
Source: RNAcentral
AGGGUUCGAUCAUGGCUCAGGACGAACGCUGGCGGCGCGCCUAACACAUGCAAGUCGAACGAGAGAGAGGAAGCUUGCUUCCUCAAUCGAGUGGCGAACGGGUGAGUAACGCGUGAGGAACCUGCCUCAAAGAGGGGGACAACAGUUGGAAACGACUGCUAAUACCGCAUAAGCCCGCAGGUCGGCAUCGACCAGAGGGAAAAGGAGUAAUCCGCUUUGAGAUGGCCUCGCGUCCGAUUAGCUAGUUGGUGAGGUAAUGGCCCACCAAGGCGACGAUCGGUAGCCGGACUGAGAGGUUGAACGGCCACAUUGGGACUGAGACACGGCCCAG